Molecule: ribosomal RNA, 462 nt
Filed under: uncultured bacterium
Lineage: Bacteria
Description: partial 16S ribosomal RNA
Rfam family: Bacterial small subunit ribosomal RNA
Source: RNAcentral
GACGAACGCUGGCGGCGUGCUUAACACAUGCAAGUCGAGCGGUAAGGCCUUUCGGGGUACACGAGCGGCGAACGGGUGAGUAACACGUGGGUGAUCUGCCCUGCACUUCGGGAUAAGCCUGGGAAACUGGGUCUAAUACCGGAUAUGACCUCCUAUCGCAUGGUGGGUGGUGGAAAGAUUUAUCGGUGCAGGAUGGGCCCGCGGCCUAUCAGCUUGUUGGUGGGGUAAUGGCCUACCAAGGCGACGACGGGUAGCCGACCUGAGAGGGUGACCGGCCACACUGGGACUGAGACACGGCCCAGACUCCGACGGGAGGCAGCAGUGGGGAAUAUUGCACAAUGGGCGAAAGCCUGAUGCAGCGACGCCGCGUGAGGGAUGACGGCCUUCGGGUUGUAAACCUCUUUCAGCAGGGACGAAGCGCAAGUGACGGUACCUGCAGAAGAAGCACCGGCUAACUACGUG